CAGAAGAAGCACCGGCCAACUACGUGCCAGCAGCCGCGGUAAUACGUAGGGUGCGAGCGUUGUCCGGAUUUACUGGGCGUAAAGAGCUCGUAGGCGGUUUGUCACGUCGUCUGUGAAAACCCGAGGCUUAACCUCGGGCCUGCAGGCGAUACGGGCAGACUUGAGUACUGUAGGGGAGACUGGAAUUCCUGGUGUAGCGGUGGAAUGCGCAGAUAUCAGGAGGAACACCGGUGGCGAAGGCGGGUCUCUGGGCAGUAACUGACGCUGAGGAGCGAAAGCGUGGGUAGCGAACAGGAUUAGAUACCCUGGUAGUCCACGCCGUAAACGGUGGGUACUAGGUGUGGGUUUCCUUCCACGGGAUCCGUGCCGUAGCUAACGCAUUAAGUACCCCGCCUGGGGAGUACGGCCGCAAGGCUAAAACUCAAAGGGAAUUGACGGA
This 439-nucleotide ribosomal RNA is filed under the name uncultured Tsukamurella sp. Its description in RNAcentral is "bacterial SSU rRNA". It matches the Rfam family "Bacterial small subunit ribosomal RNA", at positions 482 to 917 of the family's 1533-position model. Lineage: Bacteria; Bacillati; Actinomycetota; Actinomycetes; Mycobacteriales; Tsukamurellaceae. The record is from RNAcentral.